RNAcentral lists this ribosomal RNA (497 nucleotides) under uncultured bacterium. RNAcentral's name for it is "partial 16S ribosomal RNA". It matches the Rfam family "Bacterial small subunit ribosomal RNA", at positions 28 to 507 of the family's 1533-position model. The record is from RNAcentral.
GAUGAACGCUGGCGGCGUGCCUAAUACAUGCAAGUCGAGCGAACAGACGAGGAGCUUGCUCCUCUGACGUUACCGGCGGACGGGUGAGUAACACGUGGAUAACCUACCUAUAAGACUGGGAUAACUUCGGGAAACCGGAGCUAAUACCGGAUAAUAUAUUGAACCUCAUGGUUCAAUAGUGAAAGACGGUUUUGCUGUCCCUUAUAGAUGGAUCCGCGCCGCAUUAGCUAGUUGGUAAGGUAACGGCUUACCAAGGCAACGAUGCGUAGCCGACCUGAGAGGGUGAUCGGCCACACUGGAACUGAGACACGGUCCAGACUCCUACGGGAGGCAGCAGUAGGGAAUCUUCCGCAAGGGGCGAAAGCUUGACGGAGCAACGCCGCGUGAGUGAUGAAGGUCUUCGGAUCGUAAAACUCUGUUAGUAGGGAAGAACAAAUGUGUAAGUAACUAUGCACGUCUUGACGGUACCGAAUCAGAAAGCCACGGCUAACUACGUG